RNAcentral lists this ribosomal RNA (92 nucleotides) under Providencia stuartii. The record is from RNAcentral. RNAcentral also lists the same sequence under 1 other name. Lineage: Bacteria; Pseudomonadati; Pseudomonadota; Gammaproteobacteria; Enterobacterales; Morganellaceae.
CCACCUGACCCCAUGCCGAACUCAGCAGUGAAACGCCGUAGCGCCGAUGGUAGUGUGGGGUCUCCCCAUGUGAGAGUAGGGAACUGCCAGAC